CCGGAUCCUUAACCCACUGAGUGAGGCCAGGGAUCGAACCCGCAACCUCAUGUUUCCUAGUCGGAUUUGUUAACUACUGAACCACAAUGGGAACUCCCUUUUUUGCAUUCUUGCCAGCGGCGUAUUAGAGUUCCAUUUCCUCCACAUCUUGGUGAAUACUUGGUCAAUCAUUCUCUUUUUGAGGGGGUAGGGGUGUGCACCUGCAACAUGUGGAAGUUCCCAGCUAGGGGUUGAAUUGGAGCUGCAGCCACCAGCCUACACCACAGCCACAGCAACGCGGGAUCUGAGCUCCAUCUGUGACCUACACCACAGCUCAUGUUAUCCCACUGAGAGGGCCAGGGAAUGAACCCGCAUCCUCGGGGUAUUAGUUGAGUUCAUUAACUGCUGAGCCAUGAUGGGAACUCCCAUUCUUAGUUUUAACUCUUUGUAAAGUUGUUGUAUUAUCUCACCAUUGUUUUAAUUGCAUUUCCCUAAGGAUUCACAAUGAACAUUUUUUCAGAUUAGUAUUUGCUGUCUCUAUUUCUUUAGUGAAAUACUCAUAUUUUCUGCAUAUUCUGUGCACUUUCACUAUUUUUUUCCUUUAACGAAAGAACAGUGAAACAACAAAGUUGUAUUGGAAUUUCACUCAUUUUAUGACUUUUUACUUAAUGAAAUAAUUGUUUUUAAUACUAGAAUAGUAUGUUCUAAUUUAAAAUUUUUUCUAUGCAAUGCACAGCAUAAUGGGCACAUAUGCCAUAACUUUUAAUUUUAAUCUGCAUUAUUAACAUACUCUCCAUCACUUUCUGAAGUCCAGAUAUUUAAUAAUUCUGCAAGCCCUUGCUUUGUAGUGUUUACCCAGUUUCCUGGCCUGUCAUCAUGGGGGUUGGUGGGUUGAAGCAGAACUCUGAGGAGGACCAGAUGGCAUCAGAAUGGACAGGGUGUUUUUUGAGUCCCUAAGCUCACCAGGGCUGGAAAUUGGGCAGUAAUCAGACUCCCCAAGUCCUGAGUCAGGGAGCCUGGGUUUGAAUCCCAACCUCAAAAUAUUGCUGUGACUCACAGGCAAAUGACCCCCCUCAGUUUCCCCCUGUGUAAAACAGGUAUAAGGUGUGGCUCUACCACUGAGCUGUGGCAGGUGAAGUCCUGAAGUGCUCACUUGCUGUGCCAUGGCUAGGCAUGCAACCUCCCUGGGCCUAGGCAACUCUAAUCUCUGCCUGUGGUGACAUUCCUGGACCAGGCACCCCUCAUUUUUCCCCACUGACCCACCCACCAGCAAGGAGGAAGAGGCUAAGGGCACUGAUAUCUAAGUGUGGGUUCACCUACAUGGAGGUGAUGGAGGCGCUUGCCUUGGUCCCUGCGAGGAUCAAGGUAACAAGACAUGGAGGGCUUAAUGGUGCCUGGAUUCCAGGGUCUGCUUUAUAAGCAUACUCUUAAAUUCUCAGAGCAGACUGAGGAAGUGAGCACCGUGGCACUGCUGGGGAAAUCUAGGGUCAGAAUGAUGAAGGGUGACGUGGUGGACACGUAUCUAAAGCAAGAUGCCGGAUUCACACCCCUGUCACUCGCUCUAGAGCUGGGAGGUGAAUCCCUUUACCUUAGCACAUGAAGCCCUCAUCCCAGGGCAGGCACACAGCAAGUUCCAGGCAGUUUCAGCUGCUGCUACUUUUACGGUUGUUGGAAUUAUCAGUAUUUCCCCCGCUUACCAUCUGCUCUCACAGGAUUGCCUUUGUCAUCUCCACUGGCUUCCCCCAUAGGAGGCUGUUUUUCUCACUUGCAGUAGCAUUCUGUCCAAAGAGCACAGCCCCUCUGAGCACAGCACCAGAAUUGGUCAUUCAGGACUGGGUCUCUGCAGCUUCCUCAGCAACUGAGUGACAGGCUUGAAACCCAGCCAACAACCCGAAUAUGAAGUUUGACUUGUGUGUGACCUUCACCCUAGAGGAGUAGACAUCCCAGCCCAAAGGACCCGAUAGCAUGGUGUGGUCAUGGAGACCUAGCUCCCGGUCUCCCUGGCCAAGGGCUCACCUCUGCUCCAUUCACAGACCUGCUGCCUGUUUGAUGCUGUCCUCUCUGCCCAAGACUGGCCGAUGGAGAAGACCGCUGGCACGCGCCAUCCUCCCUGCAGCCCUCACCAUCUUCUGUACCCACAUCCACAUUUCCCCUCCUUGUGUCUGCACCACGGAGCUUUGAUCCUCCAGGUGGAUCUUGGUGUGCCUCCUGGAAACAGGAACUACACAACCCAGAAUGCCUUACGUCAGCGGAAAAACGGUUCCGUUCGGGCCCAAAGGGUCGGGCGGUACUUCCUGUUCCGCCGCCAAGCUGCGUUGUUAACCAGUCUGGGUCUGGUCCGCUUCCGAGCCGCUGCCUUGGGGCUGAGUUGACCGGACAGGGACGGUCCGGAAGGAGCCACUGACCCCGCGGCAGAGGCGGGCCUGAGGCUCGGCGACGCCGCCCGCGUGCCCCGGACCAGGCCCGGGAUAGAGACCGCCGUGCCCGCGCCCCUCCUCGCCCGCUGCUCCCGGCCCCGCUCCGCCCGCAGAGCCCGAUGGCGGCGGCCGCGCUGAGGGACUCGCCUCAGGGCACUAUGACUUUUGAAGACGUGGCCGUGAACUUUUCCUGGGAGGAAUGGGGUCUCCUUGAUGAGGCUCAGAGACGCCUGUACCAUGAUGUGAUGCUGGAGAACUUGGCACUUAUAACCUCCCUGGGUUGUUGGUGUGGAGCAGAGGAUGAGGAAGGACUUUCUGAGCGGAGUAUUUCUGUUCAAGGAGGGUCACAGAUCAGGACUGUUAAGGCAGCUUUGUCUACCCAGAAGGCCAACCCCUAUGAGAUUUGUGGCCCAGUCUUGAGUGACACUUUUCACUUGGCUGAGUACAAGGGAACACAUCGUGGGCAGAAACUACUCAUGUGUGGGGCAUGUGAGAAACCACUCUAUUUCAGAGCACACUGCCAUCAGGAUCAAAAGCAGCACAUUGGAGAGAAACCAUUAAGAAGUGAUGUGAGGAGAGCCUUGUUUGUGAACAGUUCCAAAUUCCAUGUAUCAGGAAAGCCCUUUUCCUUUGGGGGUGUUGGGAAGGACUUACUGGGCAACUCAGAAUUUCUUCACCAACAGGCCCCACCCACCUGGGAGAAGUCAAAUUGUGGAACCAAGAGUGAGGCCACCUUUCCAAGGGAAAACAAUCAUUAUAAAUGGGGAGACAGCACAAAAACUUUGAGCUGCAAACACACACUUGUUCAGCACCAGAGAGUCCUCACUAGAGGAGGAUGUUACAUGUGCAGCGAAUGUGGGAAAUCAUUUAGCAAAAGCUCCCACCUCAUUAGACAUCAGAGUGUUCACACUGGAGAAAAGCCUUAUGAGUGCAGUGAAUGUGGGAAAUCUUUUAGUCAAAGUUCAAACCUCAUUCAGCAUCAUAGAAUUCACACUGGAGAAAGGCCUUAUGAGUGCAGUGAAUGUGGGAAAGCCUUUAUCCAAAGAUCACAUCUCAUUCAACAUUGGAAAGUUCAUACUAGAGAAAGGUCUUUUGAAUGUAAAGAGUGUGGGAAAUCUUUUACCAAGAGCUGCAGCCUCAUUCACCAUCAGAGUGUUCAUACUGGGAAAAAGCCUUAUGAAUGUAGUGAAUGUGGGAAGUCAUUUUCCCAAAACUCUGUGCUCCUUCGGCAUCAGAGGGUUCACACUGGAGAAAGUCCUUUUGUGUGCAGUGAAUGUAGGAAGUCUUUUCGCCAAAGCUCUGCACUCCUUCAGCAUCGGAGAGUUCACACUGGAGAAAGGCCCUAUGAAUGUGGUGAAUGUGGGAAAUCCUUUAGAUAUAUCUCAAAUCUCAUUACCCAUCGGAGAGUUCACACCGGAGAAAGGCCUUAUGAAUGUAAGGAAUGUCGAAAAUCCUUUAAGAAAAGCUCUUCACUACAUCAACACCAGAGAGUUCACACUGGAAAAAGACCUUAUGAAUGCAGCAAAUGUGGGAAAUCAUUUCGCCAAAAUGUUGUGCUUCUUCAACAUCAGAGAGUUCAUACUGGAGAAAGGCCUUACCAGUGUGGUGAAUGUGAGAAAUCAUUUAGAUAUAUCUCCAACCUGACGACUCAUCGGAGAGUUCACACUGGGGAAAAGCCUCAUGAGUGUAAUGAGUGUGGAAAAUUCUUCAGUCAAAGCUCUAACCUCAUCACACAUCAGAGGAUUCACACUGGGAAAAGACCUUAAAAUUAGGGAGAUAUACUGAACUCUUUAUCUACAGGUUUAGUCUCUUAAAACACCAGACUAUUUACUGCAUCAAGGCCUUAGGUGAUGAAUGCAUUAAGGCCAUUAGCCCAGUGUCUUUACUAUUUGGAUACCACACAUUUCGAAAGGAAGAAACAACGUGCAUGUGCAGGAAGGUACAAUUUCCUUUUUCAGUAUGUCAACACCUGAUGGUACAUCUGAAUUGAACCUCAAAUAUCCAGACAUCCGCAAACAUCCCAGGUGUGUGAGAACUGCAUUUUACUCUUUCUCCUGUGCAGGCCUCUUGCCAGAUUUCUGUUACUGACACUUUAUGUGUUCAAAACCAUUUCACCUCCACCACCUGACAGGUACUCACAGGGUACAGCAUUCACUACCCUGGUGUGUUUAUGGAAGGAAACCUUGGUUUUUCCACUCACAUGAGGGAUCCAUGAGAAGCCUGAGCACUCAUGCCUGUCUCAUUUCAUUGAUGAGUUAAGUCAUCAACCUGAUACUUUUGGCUCAGAGGACUCUGCUUGUGACUUGCAAACUUGGACUGCCUUUUUUCAGGGAUAGCGUUGGCUCAGUGACUCCUGUGAUGGAAUUUUUCAUCCAUCAAGUUAUGAGUCCAGGAGCAGUCUGCCUCCCAUUGUUCUGGGUUGUGCAAUAAUAAAGGCCUUAUUAUACUUCCUGCAUUCCUCUUUGGUUGGCAUUACAUGUGUCGUAAGUGGGAUGAAGUGACCUUCAAACCAACUCUCAUGCUGCCUUGGAUUUGAGUCAGGUGCCUACAGGAGGAACCCGUUGUGUUCUACCAUCUCCUUGCUGAUCCCAGAUCGUGGUGUUUUGUGAAUCAGAAUGUUUUUCUCAAGAACGUGGAACCCAUCUGUCCAAACUGCAGACAAAGGAGGGUCAGCUGGUGUGAGGACAGGAGUCUCAUCUUAGCAGACGCCUUGCUCCAACUACAAAGCUCCCUCUUGAAAGGUGAGAAGUUGAUUCUUCCUCUGGAUAAAACCAGUUAGCUAACAGGUCACCCCAAUUAGCCGGUAAAAUUAGGACUCUGUGACAAAUGGUUCUGUCAGCUCCUCUUACAUGAGGACCAGUUACUGUUUUUCUCGAAUAUACGUAUGCAGAGCUCUCUUGCAGCUCAGCAAUCAUGAGCCUGACUAGUAUCAAUGAGGUUUCAAGUUCAAUCCCUGGCCCUGCUCAGUGGGUUAAGGAUCCGGUAUUGCCAUGAGCUAUGGUGUAGGUCGCAGACGCAGCUGGGAUCUCGCGUUGCUGUGGCUCUGGUGUAGGCUGGCGGCUACAGCUUCAAUUCGACCCCUAGCCUGGGAACUUCCAUAUACUGCAGGUGUGGCCCAAAAAAGGGAAAAAAUGUAUUCAGUGGGAUAUAUCUGCUUGGACAUAUGCAGAGUUUUUUGCUGCCUUUGCAAUUUCCUGGUAGAUCACUUGUGAUGCACAUCUAUUUUGCUUUAAUGCUUAUCAACAAGAAAAGCAGUUUUCUGUCUCUGCUAUCUUUGUGGAAAGAAUUUCUAGGUUGGGAGUUGCCAUCGUGGCACAGUGGUGAACGAAUCCGACUAGGAACCAUGAGGUUGCGGGUUCGAUCCCUGGCCUCGCUCAAUGGGUUAAGGAUCCAGUGUUCCUGUGAGCUGUGGUGUAGGUUGUAGACUCGGCUCGCAUCCCACAUUGCUGUGGCUCUGGCGCCAGCGGCUGUAGUUCCAAUUAGACCCCUAGCCUGGGAACCUCUAUAUGCCGAGGGAGUGGCCCUAGAAAAGGCUAAAAGACAAAAAAAAAAAAAAAAAAAAAUUUCUAGGUUGGGAGAAAUUUUUGUUUUUACUUCCCUAACAGUCAUCAUCAAACACCUGUCUUAAGGGAUCAAAUCUUGUCACCCAUCUCAUCAACAUCUAGUGGACAAGAAUUACAGAGGAAGGGUGAUCAGUUAAACAGUAUCAGAGACUCAAAAAGCCAUAUCUAGAAUGUAGAAAAUUCUGAUGAAUAAAUGACAGCAAAUUAUAAGAACUAAGAAUUUUAAAAGAUAAGUGGACCUCAUAUGUAAAGAGACCUGUGAGACACAGCUAAUGAAAGACGUAAGAAUACAUUUUGGACUCUGACUUCAACUAAUCUGACUUAAGCAAAUUCAUUUUUGAAACAAUUGAGCAUUAAUAAAAUGUAUUUUUAUAACUUUUGGGGUUAUGAAGGAUUACCUUACAUUUAAAAAAUGUAUUCUGGAGUUCCCAUUGUGGUUCAGUGAUAAUGAACCCAAUCAGUAUCCAUAAGAACGCAGGUUUGACCCCUGGUAUCGAUCAAUGGGUUAAUGAUCUGGCCUGUGGUUAUGGUGUAGGCAGGCAGCUGCAGCUCCAGUUGGACCCCUAGCCUGGGUACAUCCAGAUGUCUCAGGUGCAGCCCUAAAAAUAAAAAAGUAAUAAAAUCUAUUCUGAAGAGGUUAUGCAUUAAAUGAUAACAUGCUUGGAAUUAUAGGUGCAGUUGUCACCCCUUAUCUGCAGCAAAAAUCUUCGAAAAAUGUGCAGUAAACCAUUCGAAGAUCCCCAAGUAGAUGCCAGAAACCAUGGAUCAUACUAAACCUUAUAUAUACUAUGUUUUUUUCCUAUGCAUACAUACCUGUGAUUAAGUUUAAUGUAUAAAGUAAGCGUAGUAAGAGAUUAACCAAUAAUAAAACAGAACAGUUGACUGCAAUAAAAGUGAAUGUGUUCUCGCUCAGUA
Molecule: non-coding RNA, 6874 nt
Organism: Sus scrofa (pig)
Lineage: Eukaryota; Metazoa; Chordata; Mammalia; Artiodactyla; Suidae
Source: RefSeq, a predicted model, not a curated record